Non-coding RNA from Pelobates cultripes (western spadefoot toad), 215 nucleotides. NCBI's taxonomy places the organism in Eukaryota, Metazoa, Chordata, Amphibia, Anura, Pelobatidae. The record is from the annotation of a GenBank genome assembly.
UUCUGAGCAGCAUCUGACAUGCUUGGAGAAAUGGAAGACCUUGAGAACAGGAUUGAAGCUACAAAAAUGCAUUGAUCAUGUCAAUCAAACAGUGGACAGAGAGAAAAGGAAAUGGAGGGAUAUUUUGCAUCGCCUUUUGGAUGUAACUUUGUUUCUGGCUCACCAGAAUCUUCCCUUUCGUGGUCAUAGAGAGACCAUGUCAUCCACAAACAAAG